GGUUCAGCUUCAAGCCAAAAGAAAUCCUCUGCCUAAAGAAUUCCUCUUAGAUCUUACUCCGGAAGGGCAACUCUGAUUUUCUCUAAUUCCAGGCGAUCAUUCUCACAGAUUACGGUAUUGCAAAUCCCAAAUUAUGGAAUUCAAUUCCUCCUCUCCCAAAACCAUCUCUGUAGUUUCCACUUUUGCCACUCCCUUCGACAAUAAUUCCCCUCCAGUCAACGGCACCCUCAAUUCUCAAACCCGCAAGCCAAUUGCUUUAUGGCCAGGAAUGUACCAUUCCCCUGUCACCAGUGCUCUCUGGGAAGCAAGGUCCAAGAUCUUUGAGAGGCUUCUUGACCCACCUAAAGAUGCACCUCCACAGAGUGAAUUGCUUACCAAAACUCCAAAGCAAAGCCGUACAAGCAUCUUGUACAAUUUUUCUUCUGAUUAUAUACUUAGAGAGCAGUAUAGGGAUCCUUGGAAUGAGGUCAGGAUUGGGAAGUUGCUCGAGGACCUUGAUGCUUUAGCUGGCACCAUUUCUGUCAAGCACUGUUCUGAUGAUGAUAGCACAACAAGGCCACUCUUGCUUGUCACUGCUUCUGUUGACAAAAUUGUCCUGAGGAAGCCAAUCAGUGUUGACAUUGAUCUCAACAUAGUUGGUUCUGUUAUAUGGGUUGGCCGGUCGUCAAUUGAAAUUCAACUGGAAGUCAUUCAAUCCGCCAAAGAGGGCUCUGAUACUUCAGACUCAGUAGCUUUGACGGCAAACUUUAUAUUUGUGGCCCGUGACUCCAAGACUGGGAAAGCUGCUCCAGUGAACCACCUGUCACCAGAAACUCAAGAAGAAAAGUUACUGUUUAAAGAAGCUGAAGCGAGGAGUAUACUGAGGAAAAGGAAGAGGGUAGAAGAGAGAAAGGAAUGUGAGAAUGGUGAGGUCAAUAGACUUGAAGCUUUGUUGGCUGAGGGAAGAAUCUUCUGUGACAUGCCAGCCUUAGCUGACCGAGGCAGCAUUCUUCUGAGGGAUACCCACCUUGAAAACUCUUUGAUUUGCCAGCCGCAGCAAAGGAACAUUCAUGGUCGAAUCUUUGGUGGGUUUUUGAUGCAUCGGGCUUUUGAGUUGGCUUUCUCAACUGCUUAUGCAUUUGCUGGAUUGGUUCCUUACUUUCUAGAAGUUGAUCAUGUUGAUUUCUUAAGACCAGUGGAUGUUGGAGACUUCCUGCGUUUGAAAUCAUGUGUUCUUUACACGGAACUUGAAAACCCAGAGCAGCCUGUGAUUAACAUUGAAGUUGUUGCUCAUGUUACCAGGCCUGAGCUGAGAUCAAGUGAGGUAUCAAAUACAUUUUACUUCUCUUUCACUGUACGUCCCGAGGCAAAAGCCACGAAGAAUGGAUUUAGGUUACGCAAUGUGGUUCCAGCAACGGAAGAAGAAGCACGUCGAAUCCUAGAACGCAUAGAUGCAGAGACCUUACAGACGAGCAAGGCAUAUACAAAUAAGAAAUGUCUUUAACCAUUUAAGAUACUGAAUUCUGAAUUAGGAACAACCUUCACACAACCCACACAUCACUCACUAACUCCCAUCCCACCCAAUAAAAGGUUACUAUAUUUUUAUUAGAAGUAGGGAUGAUAUAAGGUAUAUUCUGGUUAAAAUAAUUGUAGCCUUCAUAUUACAUUACAGGUGUAUGAACUCCCCACUUCAAAAUGAUCUCUGAUCUUGCAAGUUUGAGUUAGGGAUUUUA
This 1712-nucleotide unclassified non-coding RNA is filed under the name Hevea brasiliensis (rubber tree). Lineage: Eukaryota; Viridiplantae; Streptophyta; Magnoliopsida; Malpighiales; Euphorbiaceae. The record is from RNAcentral.